Molecule: ribosomal RNA, 493 nt
Filed under: uncultured bacterium
Lineage: Bacteria
Description: bacterial SSU rRNA
Rfam family: Bacterial small subunit ribosomal RNA
Source: RNAcentral
AUUGAACGCUGGCGGAAUGCUUUACACAUGCAAGUCGAACGGCAGCACGGGGCAACCUGGUGGCGAGUGGCGAACGGGUGAGUAAUAUAUCGGAACGUGCCCAAUCGUGGGGGAUAACGUAGCGAAAGUUACGCUAAUACCGCAUACGAUCUACGGAUGAAAGCGGGGGAUCGCAAGACCUCGCGUGAAUGGAGCGGCCGAUAUCAGAUUAGGUAGUUGGUGGGGUAAAGGCUCACCAAGCCAACGAUCUGUAGCUGGUCUGAGAGGACGACCAGCCACACUGGAACUGAGACACGGUCCAGACUCCUACGGGAGGCAGCAGUGGGGAAUUUUGGACAAUGGGCGCAAGCCUGAUCCAGCAAUGCCGCGUGCAGGAUGAAGGCCCUCGGGUUGUAAACUGCUUUUGUACGGAGCGAAACGGCUCUCUCUAAUACAGGGGCUAAUGACGGUACCGUAAGAAUAAGCACCGGCUAACUACGUGCCAGCAGCCGAC